GUACGCUGGCGGCACGCCUAACACAUGCAAGUCGAACGAAGUAGCAAUACUUAGUGGCAGACGGGUGAGUAACAUGUAGGUAUCUGCCCUUUGGCCUGGAAUAACACGAGGAAACUUGUGCUAAUACCGGAUAAGUCUUUACGGAGAAAGCUUUAUGCACCAUUGGAUGAGCCUGCACUUGAUUAGUUUGUUGGUGGGGUAAUGGCCUACCAAGACAAUUAUCAAUAGCUGAUUUGAGAGGAUGAUCAGCCACAUUGGAACUGAGACACGGUCCAAACUCCUACGGGAGGCAGCAGUAGGGAAUCUUGCACAAUGGAGGAAACUCUGAUGCAGCGAUGCCGCGUGAGUGAAGAAGGCCUUUGGGUUGUAAAGCUCUUUCGUCGGGGAAGAAAAUGACUGUACCCGAAUAA
RNAcentral lists this ribosomal RNA (410 nucleotides) under uncultured bacterium. Its description in RNAcentral is "bacterial SSU rRNA". It matches the Rfam family "Bacterial small subunit ribosomal RNA", at positions 31 to 486 of the family's 1533-position model. The record is from RNAcentral.